RNAcentral lists this long non-coding RNA (946 nucleotides) under Dromaius novaehollandiae (emu). RNAcentral describes it as "lncRNA (ENSDNVG00000004469.1)". The record is from RNAcentral. Lineage: Eukaryota; Metazoa; Chordata; Aves; Casuariiformes; Dromaiidae.
GUUUGUCCCAGCUCCCUGGGGGUGAAACAAUCCGCGCCCAUAAAAGGGGCCCAAACCCGCGUUUUGGGAAGGAGGAAACAGGUCCCUUUCCCGGGAUCSGUUUCCCGGGAGGAAACAGGUCCCCGGGAUCGGGGCUUGUUCGCCACGUGUGAAUAACUCGGGGUUUUGUUCCUGCUGCCGUGCCAUCUCUUACGUUUCCCUCUUCUUUUCCAGGUGCACGGAUAAAGCAGCUGGUAAAGAUCCCAAAGAAGAGAAAGAGGAGGAGGAAGUCUCCGGUGUUCUCAGCCACGGCUCUCCCGUCAGCACGGCCAGGCCCAGCCGAAGCUGGCGCAGUAGCAGAUCGGCCACCGCUGCCCGCCAGCGUGAAGCGGAGAACUUGCGUGCCUCCAGAUCCAAGACUGGUUCCCUGCAGCUCGUCUGCAAGUCGGAACCAAACACGGACCAGCUUGAAUAUGAGGUCACAGAAGAGCAUCAGUCUCCAGCUGGAAUCAGGUAGGAAGCUCUUAUUUGGUGGUAUUCCUUCCUAUGAAGUGUUUCAGGAAGGGGAAAAUACGGGCUUGAGUGGGGUGUGUGUGUGUGUGUGUGUGUGUGUGUGUGUGUGUGUGUCCAAAAUAAACCCUCCUGUGAAGGGUUCUGUAGGAAGGAUAGUAGUUCUGUUCUCCUUCAGCCCUGGGCCUUUCUGUCUCUGGAUUGCAGGUGGACUGCAGACGUCAGGUCAUAUUGUAUAAGAUUCAAUCUGGGCGUUUCACCUGGUAGCUUUUUCCCUUCUGCAGUAGAUGCUGUAAUUGGGUGGGUUGAUGAGAGGAGACUGCUCUGCCCAGCCYGUUUUGGCUGUCAUCGUGUUCCUUAGUCGGUGCAAGCCGUUAACGGUGUCUUUCCCAUCCUGGGAGGUGRUGCGUGCAUGUUCUUGCAGCAGUGCUUAAGCUGCUGCUGCUAAACUUGUCUG